This 1422-nucleotide ribosomal RNA is filed under the name Heleophryne purcelli (Cape ghost frog). RNAcentral's name for it is "partial 16S ribosomal RNA". It matches the Rfam family "Bacterial large subunit ribosomal RNA", at positions 378 to 2597 of the family's 2925-position model. The record is from RNAcentral. Lineage: Eukaryota; Metazoa; Chordata; Amphibia; Anura; Heleophrynidae.
GCCGAAAGUCUAGCCACAACUCACUACACAAACCACAGAUAAUACAUAAAAUAAAACAUUUUCCACUUUUUAGUAAAGGCGAUCGAAAAACUACUAAGAGCCAUAGAUGAAGUACCGUAAGGGAAAAAUGAAAUAGAAAUGAAACAACUUUAAAGCAAUAUAAAGCAGAGCCCAACACUCGUACCUUUUGCAUCAUGGUCUAGCCAGUCCAAUCAAGCAAAACGAAUUUAAGUUUGACCCCCCGAAACCAGGCGAGCUACCCCGAGGCAGCCAAAUGGGCCAACCCAUCUCUGUGACAAAAGAGUGGGAAGACCUCCAGGUAGAAGUGACAAGCCUAUCGAGCCUGGUGAUAGCUGGUUGCUUGAGAAAAGGAUUUAAGUCCUACCUUAACUAGAACACCCAACAACAAGGCAAAACUAAAUUUAAGAGCUAUUCAAACAGGGCACAGCCUGUCUGAAACAGGAUACAACCUAAUACCCCGGGUAAUGAUCUUCCUCCCCGGUGACAAAGUAGGCCUAAAAGCAGCCACCUUCUAAAUAGCUGUCAAAGCUUCACCACCUAACCCCAAUAAUCCCACAACAACCUCAAAACCCUCACCCACUAUCAAGCCAUUCUAUAUAAAUAUAGAACACCUUAUGCUAGAACUAGUAACAAGAAGAUGAACUUCUCCACAAUGCAUGUAUAAAUCAGACUGGACCCCCCCCCCUGAUAAUUAACGCCAGAUCUAGAGGCAAUAACAACACAAGAAAACCUUGCCCCCCCACCCGUUAACCUAACACAAGAGCACUUCUGGAAAGAUCUAAAGGAGAGGAAGGAACUCGGCAAAUUUUGACCCCGCCUGUUUACCAAAAACAUCGCCUCUUGAAUAUAUAAGAGGUCCAGCCUGCCCAGUGACUUUGUUCAACGGCCGCGGUAUUCUGACCGUGCGAAGGUAGCGUAAUCACUUGUUCUCUAAAUAAGGACUAGUAUGAACGGCACCACGAGGGCCACACUGUCUCCCUCCCCCUAUCAGUGAAACUGAUCCCCCCGUGAAGAAGCGGGGAUCUAGAUAUAAGACGAGAAGACCCCUUGGAGCUUCAAACGACAUGGCACCUGCUUAACAAACCCACCCCACGGAACUACCAUUCUAAGCAAGCACACAUGACCACUAGUUUUUGGUUGGGGCGACCCCGGAGAAUAACAAAACCUCCGAGAUGUAUAGGGCACCCGCCCUAAGCCGAAAGCCACUGCUUUAAGCAUCAACCCUUUGACACCCCUUGACCCAAUUUAAUUGAUCAACGAACCAAGUUACCCCGGGGAUAACAGCGCAAUCCAUUUUCAGAGCCCCUAUCGACAAAUGGGUUUACGACCUCGAUGUUGGAUCAGGGUACCCCAGUGGUGAAGCCGCUACUAAAGGUUCGUUUGUUCAACGAUUAAAACCCU